AAACUGGCAAGUCUAUGGAGCAACUCCUGGGAGAGAGAAGCAGAGAAUCUCUUUCUUCCUUUUCCUUUUCAGAUCAUACCGUCUAUCAAGUUUUCCUAGCAAAGAUACAGCAGUGGUUCAUCGUGUGCUUCUCCAGUGGUUUAAGGCAAAUAGAGAGACUUGCCCAGGAUCACACAUCUAGGGAAAGAAACCAUUGUCUACCCCAUUUUCACCCAGCCUUAGUCACUGAAUGGGAAUUGCAUCAGUAAAACUGUGAUCUAGGAAAAACCUAAAAGGCCAAGACCUCCCACUACAUGCAGGGCCAUCUCCAUCAUCCUGAUUCUUAUCUGGCCAUUGGACCCAGAUGGCUCCGGAGGGGAAAGUGAGGCAGGUGACCUCACCCAGCUCUCCCUUACUGAAAUCCAGUUCACUUGCAGAUCAUGACAUCACCUCCCGAUGUCCUCUUCCAGAAAGACAGACACACAACAAAAACAACAAAGCUAUUGCAACUACUUUGCAUUUCUUCCUCUGAAGACUGGCCAUACUGGAUUUCCUUCUUGUCUCUGCACAACCACUGCUGCUAUGGCAAAAAGAAUGUAGGACUGGAAAGCCAAGGACAAAAAUAGCAAAGAGAAGGCAGAAGUUAACAUUUUAAUCUAGAAGCCUUAAAUAUCAAAAUCCAACACUCUCACUACUAUGGACCCAUUUCCCAGGGUUGUUAUGAGGAAAGUGAUCUCUAGGAAAAGAGGAAGAAAUAAGCAUUUCUCCAGUGCCAGGUACUAGACUAAUUGCUUCACUGAUAUCUCAUUUGGUCCUCACAACAACCCUGGGAGUGAGGUACUAUUAUUAUUUCCAUUUUACAGUUGAGGAAACUGAGGCAGAAGGAAAUUAAGUGACUUGCCCAGAAUCACACAGCUGGAUUUUAAAUUCAAGCCAUCCUGGCUUGAAGCUCAGCACUCAACCUCAACUGCCCUUUACCCUUACCACAUGUCAUCCUGCUUCCUUCUACCUUUUCAUACUUUUAAAUUUUUUUCCUCUUCCUUCUCUCCAUUGUAGGACCCUAUAAGGCAAGUGAACUCAUGUCAAAUCACUAACAGGUCAUUGCUGACCUCUGAGACACUUGGUCAGUACCAGAAAACAGGAAGAUUAGAGAAUUGUUUUAUUAAAAAAAAAAAAAAAAAAAAAAAGUAGAAAUCUCUGGAAUAGAUCCAAGUCUGAGACUUCGGAGGUGUUUUAGGUCUGGGUUUAAGGAAAUAACAUGGCAUCACCUACUCAUUACUCUGAGUCAGACAAGAUUUGGAUUCAAAUCCUAACACACUGACUAUGUCUAGGAUUUAAUAAUACAUCUCUUCAUCUCUCUGAGCCCCACUUAACUAGAAAUGAUAACUACCAUGCUAGGUUAUUAUUUUGAACACUGAUUCCAUAUCACGAGCACAAACAUUUAUAUAUGUACUUAUUGUCUAUCUGGAUAGAAUAUAAACUCCUUAGGAGCAGCAAUGACUUCAUUUGGAAUCUAGCACAUUGUAGGUGCUUAAUAAAUGCUUGUUAUUUGAAUGAGUGAUUG
Long non-coding RNA from Antechinus flavipes (yellow-footed antechinus), 1543 nucleotides. RefSeq lists it as uncharacterized. NCBI's taxonomy places the organism in Eukaryota, Metazoa, Chordata, Mammalia, Dasyuromorphia, Dasyuridae. The record is from RefSeq and is a predicted model, not a curated record. The transcript is spliced from 3 exons.